This 914-nucleotide ribosomal RNA is filed under the name uncultured bacterium. RNAcentral describes it as "bacterial SSU rRNA". It matches the Rfam family "Archaeal small subunit ribosomal RNA", at positions 1 to 922 of the family's 1478-position model. The record is from RNAcentral.
UUCCGGUUGAUCCUGCCGGCGGGCACCGCUAUUGGAGUUCGCUUAAGCCAUGCGAGUCGAGAGGGGUAAGCCCUCGGCGCACUGCUCAGUAACACGCGGAUAAUCUGCCCUCGAGUGGGGGAUAACCCCGGGAAACUGGGAAUAAUACCCCAUAGCCGUUCCAUGAUGGAAGGCUGGGACGGCGAAAGCUGAGGCGCUCGAGGAUGGAUCUGUGGCCUAUCAGGUCGUAGGGGGUGUCACGGACCCCCUAGCCGAAGACGGGUACGGGCUUUGAGAGAAGUCGCCCGGAGAUGGGUUCUGAGACAUGAACCCAGGUCCUACGGGACGCAGCAGGCGCGAAACCUCCACAAUGUGGGAAACCACGAUGGGGGAACUCCAAGUGGAUGCACUUUGUGUAUUCUGUUCUCGAGCCUAAAAAGCUCGAGAAGUAAGGGCCGGGUAAGACGGGUGCCAGCCGCCGCGGUAAUACCCGCGGCCCGAGUGGUGCUCAUUAUUAUUGAGUCUAAAGCGUCCGUAGCCGGCCGGGUAAAUCUCUGGGUAAAUCGGGCGGCUCAACCGUCCGAAUUCCAGAGACACUGCCCGGCUUGCGAUCGGGAGAGGGUGAUGGUACUUCUGGGGUAGGGGUAAAAUCCUGUAAUCCUGGAAGGACGACCAGUGGCGAAAGCGUUCAACUAGAACGGAUCCGACGGUGAGGAACGAGGGCUAGGGGAGCAAACCGGAUUAGAUACCCGGGUAGUCCUAGCUGUAAACACUGCCCACUUGGUGUUGCUUCUUCUAUAGGGGGGAGCAGUGCCGGAGCGAAGGUGUUAAGUGGGCCGCUUGGGGAGUAUGGUCGCAAGGCUGAAACUUAAAGGAAUUGGCGGGGGAGCACCGCAACGGGAGGAGCGUGCGGUUUAAUUGGAUUCAACGCCGGG